CCAUGGCCAUGCAUGGUGCAAGCUUCUUCCUUUUCCUCUCUGCUUCUCUUCUCUUUCUCUUCUCAGCCGCCUCUCCGGCUUCCUCCCUCGGCCUUUCCCUGAAGAAGCAGGCUUCUGCUCUUCUUUCCAUCAAACAAUCUUUCCGCACGUCUGACGACUUCUUCCGGAGCUGGAGCUCGUGGAAUCAUGCUUCGGUCUGCUCGUGGAACGGCGUCCGGUGCGAUGCCUCCGGGCGCGGGGUCACCGAGCUCGACGUCUCCAACCUCAACGUCUCCGGUUUCCUCUCGCCGAGGAUCGCUGAGCUGAGGGCGAUCGCUCGCCUGUCGGUCUCUGGCAACAACAUCGCCGGUGAGUUCCCCGCCAGCGUCUGCCAGCUCCCGCACCUCCAGUUCCUCAACAUCUCCAACAACCGCUUCAAUGGCUCCCUGGACUGGAACUUCUUCUCUCGAAUGGUGGAGCUGCAAGUUUUCGACGCGUACAAUAAUGACUUCUCCGGGUCGCUCCCGGUGGCGCUCCCGGAGCUGCCUCUGCUCCGCCACUUGGACCUCGGCGGGAACUACUUCUCCGGCCUGAUCCCGGCCACUUACGGUGGUUUUCCUGCCAUUAGCUAUCUGUCAUUGGCUGGGAACGAUUUGGGUGGCCGCAUUCCACCCGAGCUCGGCAACCUCACCACUCUCGAGCAGCUUUACUUAGGCUACUUCAAUGACUUCGACGGUGGCAUUCCGGCGGAGCUCGGCAGGUUGACUAAUCUCCUCCACCUUGACCUCUCGAGCUGUGGCUUGAAGGGUGAAAUCCCGCACCAGUUGGGGGAUCUUGUGAAGUUGGACACUCUGUUCCUGCAGACGAACCAGCUCACCGGCACCGUUCCUCCCCAAAUUGGCAACUUGAGCAACUUAAGAUUCCUCGACAUCUCCAACAAUGCGCUAACCGGGGAGAUACCGAAUGAGUUUGGGAAUCUCCAGGAGCUCAAGUUGCUGCACAUGUUCCUCAACCAGUUCCAUGGAGAAAUCCCAUUGUUCAUCGCAGAGCUGCCCUGUUUGGAGGUGCUGAAACUGUGGCACAACAACUUCACUGGUAUUAUCCCUCCCAAGCUUGGACAGAAUGGCAAACUCCGCGAGCUCGAUCUCUCCACCAACAAACUCACUGGAUUGGUCCCCAGAGCUCUCUGCAUCGGGAGGAAGUUGGAGAUACUGAUCUUGCUCAACAACUUCCUCUUUGGUCCUCUGCCGGAUGACCUUGGCGAGUGCGCAACUCUCGUGAGGGUGCGCAUGGGACAGAACUACUUAACCGGGUCUAUUCCCGGAGGCUUCCUCUACCUACUGGAAUUGUUACUACUGGAGUUGCAAAACAAUUACCUCACCGGAGUUCUAACAGAUGAGCCUGCAAAGCCACCUACAAAGCUAGGCCAGCUUAAUCUAUCGAACAACCGGUUUUUCGGACCUCUCCCAGGCUCCAUUGGCAACUUCUCGGCAUUGCAGAUUCUUCUUCUCAGUGACAACCAGUUCACCGGAGAAAUCCCACCUCAGGUUGGUCUUCUCAAGCACGUGCUAAAGAUAGAUAUGAGCACGAACAACUUCUCUGGUCGGAUCCCUCCUGAGCUUGGCGAUUGCUUGCUGCUGACCUACUUGGACUUGAGCCAGAACCAAUUAACCGGUGAGAUGCCGUACCAAGUGUCUCAAAUUAGGAUUCUGAACUAUCUGAAUGUUUCAUGGAACCAGUUGGCCGGAGCCAUUCCCAAGGAAAUGGGGAGCAUGAAGAGUCUAACUUCGGUCGACUUCUCUCACAAUGACUUCUCCGGCAGAGUGCCGGAGACAGGGCAGUUUGCCUACUUCAACGCUUCGUCCUUCCUUUCCAAUCCUCAGCUAUGCGGGCCAAUUCUGAACCCCUGCAACAUCUCAGCAAGUUCUCAGUUCCAUCGAGACCAACAAGGAAGUUUCAAGCUCCAGCUCCCCGGGAAGUCCAAGCUCCUGUUUGCUCUGGGCCUCUUACUGUGUUCCAUAGUUUUUGCCAUCACGGUGGCCAUCAAGACGCGGUCUGUGAUGGCAAGAAACUCUAAUUUGUGGAAAUUGACUGCGUUCCAGAAAUUGGAUUUCGGGAGCCAAGAGAUUGUAGAAUGCCUCAAAGAGAACUGCGUCAUCGGGAGAGGAGGAGCUGGCAUCGUCUACCGAGGCACGAUGCCUAACGGCGAAGAGGUCGCAGUGAAGCGACUGCUCGGAAUCAGCAAAGGGUCGACGCAUGACAACGGAUUCUCUGCAGAGAUUCAAACACUGGGCAAGAUUAGACAUCGCAACAUCGUCAGGUUGCUCGCCUUCUGCUCCAACAACGACUGCAAGUUGCUGGUCUACGAGUACAUGCCCAAUGGAAACUUAGGAGAGUUGCUCCAUGGAAAGAGAGCUGGGUAUCUCAAUUGGCAAAUGAGGCUCAGGAUCGCCAUCGAAUCGGCCAAAGGAAUGUGCUACCUGCACCACGACUGUCGCCCUCCGAUCCUUCACCGGGAUGUCAAGUGCAACAACAUCUUGUUGGAUGCAAACUUUGAAGCUCAUGUAGCUGAUUUCGGGCUGGCCAAGUACUUGAGGGACACUGGAGCCUCCGAAUGCAUGUCCGCCAUUGCUGGCUCUUAUGGCUACAUUGCUCCCGAAUACGCGUACACUCUGAAGGUGGACGAGAAGAGCGACGUGUACAGCUUCGGAGUAGUACUGCUGGAGCUCAUCACCGGCCGACGUCCGGUGGGUGGCUUCGGCGAGGAAGGACUGGACCUUGUCCAGUGGACGAGGAUCGUGACGAACUGGAGCAAGGAAGGGGUGGUGAAGAUCCUGGACCCCUGGCUGAGCAACGUGCCGGUGGAGGAGGCCAUGCAGGUGUUCUUUGUUGCCAUGCUGUGCGUGCAGGAGCACAGCGUGGAGAGGCCGACCAUGAGAGAGGUGAUACAAAUGCUGGAACAAGCCAAGCCCUCCUCUGUUCUACACCCAAGAUAGUCAUGAUCUGGUUGCUCUGGGAUUCUGCAGUUUUGUCAGUGAAUGAUGAACUAAGAUUCCAUGUGUGUGUUUAACUAGUGAUUUUAAGCAGCACUGUAUCAUACUCCUUGCGUACGUACAGACUAAAGUAGCUGGCAUGGAUGAAAGAUGAGUGCAUGCAGAGGGACAUGGAAAAGAAAUGUUGUCAGCGGAGUCGUAGAUGAUCUGAAUCACUGAAUGCUUACAAGAUGAGAAUGAAGAAGAAGAAGAAGAGGAAGAGGAAGAGAGAGAGGUGGUGACAGGGAAAAGUGAGGGAACAUGAAGCAUGUUUGCUCCCGAGAAGAUGAUUAAAACAAAACCGAGGAGUGAGCAUGGCAGUGCAGCCUGUUCAAGGAAGAAGAAGAUGAAGAUGAAGAUGAAGAAGAAAAUGAGAGUGAGAGAGGCACAAAACAAUUAAUGAAUAGGAACCCUGGUGUUUAGGUACCUCGUGCAAAUUAAUUUGUAAAGCAAGGCAGAGUGUCAACAAUGGCUGCUGGGAAAAGCACUGAAAGAAGAGGAAGAAGACAGACAAUGUCAUUGAAUUUGAAUGCUGAAGCUUAACAGCAGAAGAAUGCGACCAUGCAUGCAGAGUUGCAGAUCAGAUCAGACCAGACCAGACCACCUCUGCCAUCCUUCUCCUUGUCUUUUUACCCUAAAUAAUUUAUACUUGUAGAUGUACGUAUAUGGAUCAGAGAUAGCGACAU
RNA transcript from Zingiber officinale, 3697 nucleotides. It is a transcript of the gene named leucine-rich repeat receptor-like serine/threonine-protein kinase BAM3, with no coding region annotated. The transcript is spliced from 3 exons. Lineage: Eukaryota; Viridiplantae; Streptophyta; Magnoliopsida; Zingiberales; Zingiberaceae. The record is from RefSeq and is a predicted model, not a curated record.